UACGGGGGGGGCUAGCGUUGUUCGGAAUUACUGGGCGUAAAGCGCGCGUAGGCGGCUUUGCAAGUCAGAGGUGAAAGCCUGGAGCUCAACUCCAGAACUGCCUUUGAAACUGCAUCGCUAGAAUCAUGGAGAGGUUAGUGGAAUUCCGAGUGUAGAGGUGAAAUUCGUAGAUAUUCGGAAGAACACCAGUGGCGAAGGCGACUAACUGGACAUGUAUUGACGCUGAGGUGCGAAAGCGUGGGGAGCAAACAGG
This 253-nucleotide ribosomal RNA is filed under the name uncultured bacterium. RNAcentral describes it as "partial 16S ribosomal RNA". It matches the Rfam family "Bacterial small subunit ribosomal RNA", at positions 524 to 776 of the family's 1533-position model. The record is from RNAcentral.